Molecule: long non-coding RNA, 532 nt
Organism: Heterocephalus glaber (naked mole-rat)
Lineage: Eukaryota; Metazoa; Chordata; Mammalia; Rodentia; Bathyergidae
Source: Ensembl
GGUCACCGCACGGAGCCUGGACUGUAGGGAAGAGUAGAAGCCCAGGGAGCAAGCUGGAGGCAACCGAGCAUAGCCAGAGUGAGAAACAAUAGCGUGACCAGAGUGGAGGAAGAAAAGCGCUGAGAAGGGGUCAGACUCUGGUUCUGUUUCAAAGGCAGAGCCAGCAGAAUUUUUGGACAGAAUGGAUGUGUGGUGUAAAAGAGGGAUCAAACUCAGGACCUUGUGCUUGUGACGCAGACAUGCCACCACUGAGCUAAAUCCCCAGCCCCAAUUGAGAUGUUUUAUGGACCAACACUGUUUUAUGCUGAAGAAUGUUCCAUGUGGACUUAAGAUAUGGAGUAUCUUUUCCCACCUGCUAUGGUUUGAAUAUCUUCCCUCCAAGAUUCAGGGAUCAAAUUCAGGACCUUGCACCUAUGAGGCAGGCAGCAGAACCACUGAAGUAAAUCCCUGGAAUAACUAGGAAAGAGAAAACCAGGGAACUAUGACAGGCUAGGAGAGUAAGGCUGAGGGUGAAGAUGUGAAAACGGCGGAG